UCUAAGUAACUAAGUAAAAAAUCAAACGAGAUACCGUAACUAGUGGCGAGCGAAAACGGUAACUAGGCUUAACAAAACUUUUUUUGUACUUCAAUUAAUAAAGCCAUAGAAGGUAAACCUAAAAAUAGCCCUGUAAUAUUUAAGUGAACAAGUUUGUUAAAAUUAAGUCAAAUGACACAAGUUGUGUGUUAUUUAAAUAAUGGGGGACCACCCUCAAAGCCUAAAAUUUUUAAUGAUUUAUAGAGAAAAAGUACUGUGAAGGAAAG
RNAcentral lists this ribosomal RNA (266 nucleotides) under Licmophora paradoxa. RNAcentral describes it as "partial Bacterial large subunit ribosomal RNA". It matches the Rfam family "Bacterial large subunit ribosomal RNA", at positions 201 to 513 of the family's 2925-position model. Lineage: Eukaryota; Bacillariophyta; Fragilariophyceae; Licmophorales; Licmophoraceae. The record is from RNAcentral.